AGAGUUUGAUCAUGGCUCAGAGCGAACGCUGGCGGCAGGCUUAACACAUGCAAGUCGAGCGGGCGUAGCAAUACGUCAGCGGCAGACGGGUGAGUAACGCGUGGGAACGUACCUUUUGGUUCGGAACAACACAGGGAAACUUGUGCUAAUACCGGAUAAGCCCUUACGGGGAAAGAUUUAUCGCCGAAAGAUCGGCCCGCGUCUGAUUAGCUAGUUGGUAGGGUAAUGGCCUACCAAGGCGACGAUCAGUAGCUGGUCUGAGAGGAUGAUCAGCCACAUUGGGACUGAGACACGGCCCAAACUCCUACGGGAGGCAGCAGUGGGGAAUAUUGGACAAUGGGCGCAAGCCUGAUCCAGCCAUGCCGCGUGAGUGAUGAAGGCCCUAGGGUUGUAAAGCUCUUUUGUGCGGGAAGAUAAUGACGGUACCGCAAGAAUAAGCCCCGGCUAACUUCGUGCCAGCAGCCGCGGUAAUACGAAGGGGGCUAGCGUUGCUCGGAAUCACUGGGCGUAAAGGGUGCGUAGGCGGGUCUUUAAGUCAGGGGUGAAAUCCUGGAGCUCAACUCCAGAACUGCCUUUGAUACUGAAGAUCUUGAGUUCGGGAGAGGUGAGUGGAACUGCGAGUGUAGAGGUGAAAUUCGUAGAUAUUCGCAAGAACACCAGUGGCGAAGGCGGCUCACUGGCCCGAUACUGACGCUGAGGCACGAAAGCGUGGGGAGCAAACAGGAUUAGAUACCCCGGUAGUCC
This 744-nucleotide ribosomal RNA is filed under the name uncultured bacterium. RNAcentral's name for it is "bacterial SSU rRNA". It matches the Rfam family "Bacterial small subunit ribosomal RNA", at positions 8 to 796 of the family's 1533-position model. The record is from RNAcentral.